This 461-nucleotide ribosomal RNA is filed under the name uncultured ammonia-oxidizing beta proteobacterium. RNAcentral's name for it is "bacterial SSU rRNA". It matches the Rfam family "Bacterial small subunit ribosomal RNA", at positions 202 to 645 of the family's 1533-position model. The record is from RNAcentral. Lineage: Bacteria; Pseudomonadati; Pseudomonadota; Betaproteobacteria.
AAAGCAGGGGAUCGCAAGACCUUGCGCUUUUGGAGUGGCCGAUGCCUGAUUAGCUAGUUGGUGGGGUAAUGGCCUACCAAGGCGACGAUCAGUAGUUGGUCUGAGAGGACGACCAGCCACACUGGGACUGAGACACGGCCCAGACUCCUACGGGAGGCAGCAGUGGGGAAUUUUGGACAAUGGGCGAAAGCCUGAUCCAGCAAUGCCGCGUGAGUGAAGAAGGCCUUCGGGUUGUAAAGCUCUUUCAGUCGAGAAGAAAAGGUUGUGACUAAUAAUCACAACUCAUGACGAUAUCGACAGAAGAAGCACCGGCUAACUACGUGCCAGCAGCCGCGGUAAUACGUAGGGUGCGAGCGUUAAUCGGAAUUACUGGGCGUAAAGGGUGCGCAGGCGGCUUUGUAAGUCAGAUGUGAAAUCCCCGGGCUUAACCUGGGAAUUGCGUUUGAAACUACAAAGCUAGA